RNAcentral lists this ribosomal RNA (685 nucleotides) under uncultured bacterium. Its description in RNAcentral is "bacterial SSU rRNA". It matches the Rfam family "Bacterial small subunit ribosomal RNA", at positions 102 to 806 of the family's 1533-position model. The record is from RNAcentral.
ACGGGUGAGUAACGCGUGGGUAACCUACCCUGUACACACGGAUAACAUACCGAAAGGUAUGCUAAUACGGGAUAAUAUAUUUGAGAGGCAUCUCUUAAAUAUCAAAGGUGAGCCAGUACAGGAUGGACCCGCGUCUGAUUAGCUAGUUGGUAAGGUAACGGCUUACCAAGGCGACGAUCAGUAGCCGACCUGAGAGGGUGAUCGGCCACAUUGGAACUGAGACACGGUCCAAACUCCUACGGGAGGCAGCAGUGGGGAAUAUUGCACAAUGGGCGAAAGCCUGAUGCAGCAACGCCGCGUGAGUGAUGAAGGCCUUCGGGUCGUAAAACUCUGUCCUCAAGGAAGAUAAUGACGGUACUUGAGGAGGAAGCCCCGGCUAACUACGUGCCAGCAGCCGCGGUAAUACGUAGGGGGCUAGCGUUAUCCGGAUUUACUGGGCGUAAAGGGUGCGUAGGCGGUCUUUCAAGUCAGGAGUGAAAGGCUACGGCUCAACCGUAGUAAGCUCUUGAAACUGGGAGACUUGAGUGCAGGAGAGGAGAGUGGAAUUCCUAGUGUAGCGGUGAAAUGCGUAGAUAUUAGGAGGAGCACCAGUUGCGAAGGCGGCUCUCUGGACUGUAACUGACGCUGAGGCACGAAAGCGUGGGGAGCAAACAGGAUUAGAUACCCUGGUAGUCCACGCUGUAAA